RNAcentral lists this ribosomal RNA (460 nucleotides) under uncultured bacterium. Its description in RNAcentral is "partial 16S ribosomal RNA". It matches the Rfam family "Bacterial small subunit ribosomal RNA", at positions 338 to 795 of the family's 1533-position model. The record is from RNAcentral.
CCUACGGGUGGCAGCAGUGAGGAAUAUUGGUCAAUGGACGAGAGUCUGAACCAGCCAAGUAGCGUGAAGGAUGACUGCCCUAUGGGUUGUAAACUUCUUUUAUAAAGGAAUAAAACGAGGCACGUGUGCCUUUUUGCAUGUCCUUUAUGAAUAAGGAUCGGCGAACUCCGUGCCAGCAGCCGCGGUAAUACGGAGGAUCCCAUCUUUAUCCGGAUUAUUUGGGUUUAAAGGAGGCUAAGAUGGGUGGUUAAGGCAGUUGUGAACGUUCGCGGCGUAACCGUAAAAUUGCAAUGGAUACUGGCAGUCUGGAGUACAGUUGAGGUAGGCGGAAUGCGUGGUGUAGCGGUGAAAUGCUUAGAUAUCACGCAGAACCCCGAUUGCGAAGGCAGCUUACUAAACUGUGACUGACAUUGAUGCACGAAAGUGUGGGUAUCAAACAGGAUUAGAUACCCCUGUAGUC